This 262-nucleotide ribosomal RNA is filed under the name uncultured bacterium. RNAcentral describes it as "partial 16S ribosomal RNA". It matches the Rfam family "Bacterial small subunit ribosomal RNA", at positions 515 to 776 of the family's 1533-position model. The record is from RNAcentral.
CCGCGGUAAUACGGAGGGAGCUAGCGUUGUUCGGAAUUACUGGGCGUAAAGCGCACGUAGGCGGCUUUUCAAGUCGGGGGUGAAAUCCCGGGGCUCAACCCCGGAACUGCCCUCGAAACUGGAUGGCUAGAAUCCUGGAGAGGCGAGUGGAAUUCCGAGUGUAGAGGUGAAAUUCGUAGAUAUUCGGAAGAACACCAGUGGCGAAGGCGACUCGCUGGCCCGAUACUGACGCUGAGGCGCGAAAGCGUGGGGAGCAAACAGG